UACGGGGGGGGCAAGCGUUGUUCGGAAUUACUGGGCGUAAAGGGUUCGUAGGUGGCCUACUAAGUCAGACGUGAAAUCCCUCAGCUUAACUGGGGAACUGCGUCUGAUACUGGAGGGCUUGAGUGCAGGAGAGGAACGCGGAAUUCCAGGUGUAGCGGUGAAAUGCGUAGAUAUCUGGAGGAACACCGGUGGCGAAGGCGGCAUCCUGGACCGGUAUUGACACUGAGGAGCGAAAGCCAGGGGAGCAAACGGG
RNAcentral lists this ribosomal RNA (253 nucleotides) under uncultured bacterium. RNAcentral describes it as "partial 16S ribosomal RNA". It matches the Rfam family "Bacterial small subunit ribosomal RNA", at positions 524 to 776 of the family's 1533-position model. The record is from RNAcentral.